GCAGGAGUAGUGAGGAAGAAGAGCCCAAGACGAAGGAGAUGAAGCUGUGAAGCACACAGAAGAGAAGUGUCGACUCCACCAUCAGCCCAACGAACGAGCCCUGGCUAUUUAAGGCCGUUCCUAAUGAACAUUUGCAGCGCUGCAUGGGUGUUGGGGUUGUGAGCGAGACGUGUGCGGUUUUACGACGCAUCAGCGCUUCCCUGUCUUUAACUAUGGUGAGGGAUUAGGGCAGCAUCAAUAAGACCAUUCUCAAUGCAAGUUUCAUUCUCAUUAAAUAACAUGCCACAUAUGCAAAAGCGAUGACAUGGCAUGGAAUUUAAGAGGAAAGAGAAGAAUUGGAUUUCACAGGGAUGAAACUAGGUGUACACAGUUAC
RNAcentral lists this long non-coding RNA (374 nucleotides) under Setaria viridis. Its description in RNAcentral is "long non-coding RNA (SVIR_LNC009165)". The record is from RNAcentral. Lineage: Eukaryota; Viridiplantae; Streptophyta; Magnoliopsida; Poales; Poaceae.